GAUGAACGCUGGCGGCGUGCCUAAUACAUGCAAGUCGAGCGAACGGACGAGAAGCUCGCUCCUCUGAUGUUAGCGGCGGACGGGUGGGUAACACGUGCAUAACCUACCUCUUAUACUGGGAUAACUUCGGGAAACCGGUGCUACUACUGGAUAAUAUUUCCAACCGCUCGAUUCAAAAGUGCAUCACGCCUUUCGCGUUACUUUUAGAUGAUUUCGCGCUGCAUUAGCUAGUUGGUAAGGUAACGGCCUACCAAGGCAACGAUGCGUAGCCGACCUGAGAGGAUGAUCGGCCACACUGGAACUGAGACACGGUCCAGACUCCUACGGGAGGCAGCAGUAGGGAAUCUUGCACAAUGGGCGAAAGCCUGACGGAGCAACGCCGCGUGAGUGAUGAAGGUCUUCGGAUCGUAAAGCUCUGUUAUUAGGGAAGAACAUAUGUGUAAGUAACUGUGCAUGUCUUGACGGUACCUAAUCAGAAAGCCACGGCUAACUACGUG
This 497-nucleotide ribosomal RNA is filed under the name uncultured bacterium. Its description in RNAcentral is "partial 16S ribosomal RNA". It matches the Rfam family "Bacterial small subunit ribosomal RNA", at positions 28 to 507 of the family's 1533-position model. The record is from RNAcentral.